GGAUUAGAUACCCUGGUAGUCCUAGCUGUAAACGAUGGAUACUAGACAUAGGAAUUGGAUUAACGAUUUCUGUGUCGUAGCUAACGCGUUAAGUGCCCCGCCUGGGGAGUACGGUCGCAAGACUAAAACUCAAAGGAAUUGACGGGGGCCCGCACAAGCGGUGGAACAUGUGGUUUAAUUCGACGCAACGCGAAGAACCUUACCUGGGUUUGACAUCCCCGGCCGACACCAGAGAUGGUGUUUUCUCUUCGGAGACCGGGUGACAGGUGCUGCAUGGCUGUCGUCAGCUCGUGCUG
Molecule: ribosomal RNA, 296 nt
Filed under: uncultured bacterium
Lineage: Bacteria
Description: partial 16S ribosomal RNA
Rfam family: Bacterial small subunit ribosomal RNA
Source: RNAcentral